AUAACCCUGCUGUGUGCGUGUAAACUGGCUAAGUAAAGAGCCAACACUCUGAUAUAGGGAGUCCGGUCUCUGAAUGCGGCAUAUAUGCCCUCCUUCGGGAGGGAAAUAUAAAGCAUUUAGGAGGACACCCACCUGGGUAGCCGGGUCUCUAUUACAGUCAGCGAACACGGCAUGGUGGGGGUUUU
Molecule: non-coding RNA, 185 nt
Filed under: Tepidanaerobacter sp.
Lineage: Bacteria; Bacillati; Bacillota; Clostridia; Thermosediminibacterales; Tepidanaerobacteraceae
Also listed under: 1 other name
Description: 6S RNA
Rfam family: 6S / SsrS RNA
About the family: E. coli 6S RNA was the first non coding RNA to be sequenced, but its function was unknown until recently. It consists of 184 nucleotides that fold into an extended hairpin structure with a large single-stranded internal bulge. The 6S RNA specifically associates with RNA polymerase holoenzyme containing the sigma70 specificity factor.
Source: RNAcentral